RNAcentral lists this long non-coding RNA (506 nucleotides) under Lactuca sativa (garden lettuce). Its description in RNAcentral is "long non-coding RNA (LSAT_LNC003686)". The record is from RNAcentral. Lineage: Eukaryota; Viridiplantae; Streptophyta; Magnoliopsida; Asterales; Asteraceae.
ACAGGAGAUAGCAUUAUGGUGGCAUAUAACAACAAGAAAUACUACAUUGAUAUCAUUGAAUCAAAGCCUUCUCAUGCAAUAACCAUAAUUGAAACUGAUUGUGAGGUCGAUUUUGCCCCUCCUCUUGAUUACAAAGAGCCUGAGAGACCUGUAGCAUCUAUCCCUUCAACCAAACCACCAUCAGAAGGUUUUAUUUAAUAUUUCUUUCAACUUCUUGAAUUUUAUUUAUAUGUUUUAUUUAUUUUUUAUUUUGUGGUGUUGUAGGUGAGGCUGCUCCAGUUGAAGAGCCAAAGUUUAAUCCGUUUACUGGAUCAGGAAGAAGGUUGGAUGGAAAGCCUUUAAAAUACCAGCCACCACCUGUUUCUGCCGCCUCCUCCACCACCAAAGACAAGCAAGUGGCGGUUUCUGGUGGUGGUGUGCCGCCACCAUCAACCGGAUCCAGCUCACAAAGCAGCUCUCGUCAGUCGCAAGGAAAACUUGUGUUUGGAUCUAAUGCUAACCGUAGU